Molecule: ribosomal RNA, 494 nt
Filed under: uncultured bacterium
Lineage: Bacteria
Description: partial 16S ribosomal RNA
Rfam family: Bacterial small subunit ribosomal RNA
Source: RNAcentral
GACGAACGCUGGCGGCGUGCUUAACACAUGCAAGUCGAACGGUGAAGCGCCUUCCUUUUUGGUGGGUGUGGAUGAGUGGCGAACGGGUGAGUAACACGUGAGUAACCUGCCCCCUUCUUCUGGAUAACCGCAUGAAAGUGUGGCUAAUACGGGAUAUUCUGGGUCUGUCGCAUGAUGGGUCUGGGAAAGAUAUUGUUUCGGUGGGGGAUGGGCUCGCGGCCUAUCAGCUUGUUGGUGGGGUGAUGGCCUACCAAGGCGGUGACGGGUAGCCGGCCUGAGAGGGUGGACGGUCACACUGGGACUGGGACACGGCCCAGACUCCUACUGGAGGCAGCAGUGUGGAAUAGUGCACAAUGGGCGCAAGACUGAUGCAGCGACGCCGCGUGAGGGAUGGAGGCCUUCGGGUUGUGAACCUCUUUCGCCAGUGAAGCAGGCCUGCCUCGUUUGUGGGUGGGUUGACGGUAGCUGGAUAAGAAGCGCCGGCUAACUACGUG